GUGCUUGCUUUGGCAGCACAUAUACAAAAAUUGGAAUGAUAUAGAGAAGAUUAGCAUGGCCCCUGCACAAGGAUGACAUGCAAAAUUGUGAAGCAUUCCAUAUUUUU
RNAcentral lists this small nuclear RNA (107 nucleotides) under Jaculus jaculus (lesser Egyptian jerboa). Lineage: Eukaryota; Metazoa; Chordata; Mammalia; Rodentia; Dipodidae. The record is from RNAcentral.